AUGUGAAAGCGCUUUGAGUGUGCUGUAAAAGCAUAGAAAGGCGCUAUACAAGUAUAAGACCAUUUACCAUACUGGCUUUUUGAAUAAACCUUGGAAUAUUUAAAAAGCCAUUAUAAACAUUAUCGUCUGACUGACUCUGAUUACAGUUAAAAGCAAUAGAUGAUUCAGUGCCCCUGCCGAUGAUGUAAUAAUCAGUUUUGUGAGAGGUUUUUACUGUUGUUCUGUCACAGUUUUGAGUUGGUAAAACAGUUUCUGCUCUUAGUUCACAGAUGACUGCAGAUGGGUCCACCAGUCCCAGCAGAGUCUCCAUCAAGAGUGGGGCAUCCUUAUACAUGCCACCCGACUUUAGUGAUGAGAGGCCCAAACGUUCACAUUUGAGUGGAACUGGAUCUACAGCUUCCAGUAUUCCCUCGAUGAAGAGCGAUCAUUCCAUGUUCCACCCCCCCGACUUAUCACCAGAAAAGUCACAAAGUCAGCUGACCGAGGAGCCAUCCAGCUGUUCAGUGUGU
Molecule: long non-coding RNA, 509 nt
Organism: Monopterus albus (swamp eel)
Lineage: Eukaryota; Metazoa; Chordata; Actinopteri; Synbranchiformes; Synbranchidae
Exons: 3
Source: RefSeq, a predicted model, not a curated record